This 253-nucleotide ribosomal RNA is filed under the name uncultured bacterium. Its description in RNAcentral is "partial 16S ribosomal RNA". It matches the Rfam family "Bacterial small subunit ribosomal RNA", at positions 524 to 776 of the family's 1533-position model. The record is from RNAcentral.
UACGAAGGGGGCUAGCGUUGCUCGGAAUCACUGGGCGUAAAGCGCACGUAGGCGGAUCUUUAAGUCAGGGGUGAAAUCCUGGAGCUCAACUCCAGAACUGCCUUUGAUACUGGGGAUCUCGAGUCCGGAAGAGGUGAGUGGAACUCCGAGUGUAGAGGUGAAAUUCGUAGAUAUCGGGAGGAACACCAGUGGCGAAGGCGGCGAUCUGGGAAGAUACUGACGCUGAGGUGCGAAAGCGUGGGGAGCAAACAGG